RNAcentral lists this small nucleolar RNA (134 nucleotides) under Dasypus novemcinctus (nine-banded armadillo). RNAcentral's name for it is "Small nucleolar RNA SNORA9 (ENSDNOG00000049729.1)". It matches the Rfam family "Small nucleolar RNA SNORA9". From Rfam's summary of the family: ACA9 is a member of the H/ACA class of snoRNA that guide the sites of modification of uridines to pseudouridines. Lineage: Eukaryota; Metazoa; Chordata; Mammalia; Cingulata; Dasypodidae. The record is from RNAcentral.
UUGCAAACCUCCAGCGUGCGUGGGUCUGCAGUGACCCUGUGCAUUCCUACAGUGCUUGCAAGAACAGGGUUGAAAUGUUUGAGGCUUUGCUCUGCUCCGUCUACAGAGCAAGGUAGUAGACAUUUCAGACAGUU